CAAAUUAAUCCUUUUAAAAAUCCUAAUUAGAAUUUGUGUUUCCUAUUUUUGAUUAUGAUUUAUUAUUCCUUAUUUUUUUAUCUUAUUAGACGUAACAACCCAAAUUUGCCUGGUCCCAAAAGCACAAACAAAAAUAAACAUUAAAUUAGAUUAAAAUAAAAACAAAAAAAAACAACAACAAUAAGCAGUCCAUUUUAAAUGUCCAUUUACAGACUUUAGGCCCAAUACAAACUAACCCAAUGUAUAGCCUAACACCAGCCAGAUUCUACCCUGACCCAAUACAACAGACCCAAACCUUAGCCCAACUCGAAGUGGCC
RNAcentral lists this long non-coding RNA (317 nucleotides) under Gossypium raimondii (Peruvian cotton). Its description in RNAcentral is "long non-coding RNA (GRAI_LNC000323)". The record is from RNAcentral. Lineage: Eukaryota; Viridiplantae; Streptophyta; Magnoliopsida; Malvales; Malvaceae.